This 74-nucleotide transfer RNA is filed under the name Paraglaciecola mesophila KMM 241. It matches the Rfam family "tRNA". From Rfam's summary of the family: Transfer RNA (tRNA) molecules are approximately 80 nucleotides in length. Their secondary structure includes four short double-helical elements and three loops (D, anti-codon, and T loops). The record is from Rfam by way of RNAcentral. Lineage: Bacteria; Pseudomonadati; Pseudomonadota; Gammaproteobacteria; Alteromonadales; Alteromonadaceae.
CGGUGUGUAGCGCAGCUUGGUAGCGCACUGUCAUGGGGUGUCAGGGGUCGUAGGUUCAAAUCCUAUCACACCGA